AGACGCCCGUUUACACGCACCACCCCUGGGCGGGCUGUGCGGCUCAGGCCCUCCCCCGGGACCGGCCCGUGUCCCGCCCCGUGUCCCACCCCGUAUUUGUGCGGCGCCAGCUGGCCCCGCAGCCUGCGGCGCAGAGAGGCUGGGCUUGCAGGCGCAGUAGCUCCAGAGGUCGCGCUGGGCUGAGAGUGCGGGCCGGCAGAGGCUGGCGGGGAGCAGCCGGGGUUAUGCUGGGCAAGGAUUACAUGCUGGCCAUCAUUCUGGUCAACUGCGAUGGUGUGCACGGAGGGGCCCGGUGGGAAGACCAGGAGCUGAGGGAGGACGAGGGAAUCCGAAAGGCUACUCUGGGGCUCAAAGACAGGGUGGGGGAUACCUCUCUGUGUAGGGACCAGGGGGCGAAUGAACCCGAUCUUUACAUGUGAUGUCUUCAAGAUUGAGGAGCUUGGAUCUUCAGCCUAAGAACUGACCCAUUUUGGGGAUGGAGAGGGGAUUAUGACAGCAUGUUAUUCUGAACUCACAAAUCAUAUGCUCCCUCCUCUCUAAUCCGGUGUUCCUGUAGAUGACUUGUGGGAGGACCACAGUCUGGAGGGGGAGGCUGGCCUGCCUCCUGGCUGGAGGAAGAUCCACGAUGCUGCAGGUACUUACUACUGGCAUGUACCCAGCGGUAGCACCCAGUGGCAGCGCCCAACCUGGGAACUAGGAGAUGCAGAGGACCCAGGCACGGGAACGGAGGGGAUCUGGGGACUGCGGCCCCCCAAAGGGAGAUCCUUCUCCAGCCUGGAGAGUUCACUGGACCGGAGUAACUCUCUGUCCUGGUAUGGUGAGGAAUCCUACAUCCAGAGCAUGGAGCCAGGGGCUAAGUGCUUUGCAGUCCGCUCUCUGGGCUGGGUAGAAGUACCUGAAGAGGACCUGGCACCGGGGAAGAGCAGUAUUGCAGUCAAUAACUGUAUCCAGCAGCUGGCCCAGACCCGCAGCCGGAGCCAGCCUCCAGA
This 989-nucleotide small RNA is filed under the name Pan troglodytes (chimpanzee). RNAcentral's name for it is "retained intron". Lineage: Eukaryota; Metazoa; Chordata; Mammalia; Primates; Hominidae. The record is from RNAcentral.